Molecule: long non-coding RNA, 2230 nt
Organism: Homo sapiens (human)
Lineage: Eukaryota; Metazoa; Chordata; Mammalia; Primates; Hominidae
Product: long intergenic non-protein coding RNA 1798
Source: Ensembl
AGAUGAAGCUAGCCUUCUCAGCUAGCCUUCAGAUUUGUCUGCUAACAGUAAAAAUACUAUAAUAAAUCGGUAACAUAUGUUGCCAGGCAAGGAAAAGUGAUAUAAAUAAAGAGACUGGGAGACCCAAACCAAAUUGCAUUCUUACCCAAAUACUCUUCGUGAUUGCCUGCUUUGCGGCUUUGGGAGUUGGGUCUUGCUGUUUUGCCCAGGUUGAUCUCAAUCUCCUUGCCUCAAGCAAUCUCUCUGCCUCAGCCUCCCCAAGUGCUGGGAUUACAGUGUCCUGAUGUCAAGGUGAAUGGGGUCAAUAGAGAGAGCAGCUGGUAGGAGCCAGUCUUUAGCUGAUUUCCUCCUCGAGUUGUGGGGGCUGCUGCCAAGUCAUUCGUCUCACCCUGUGUGUCUGUUAUAAUGUUGCAAAAGAAAACAGAAGUUUAUGUCCAUGCUGCAGAUAUAAAGGAUGAAGUUGUAGGGCAGGAAGUCUUAUGUAACUUGGAGCAGCUACUCAAUGGAAAUCACAAACAGAAUGAGUUUCAUCCACAUGUCAAGACACUACUACCAACAGAGCUAUUUCAGGACACCUACCUAAAUAACUAGCUGUCUCUUCCACUUAAAGCAAGAGCGUAUAAUGGAGUUAGGAUGACUGGAUACACAUGGAAUUAUCACUCUACCUUCAAAGGGGGAAUUUUGUGGGACAACUGGCACCUGCUGGACUGGGCUUCCCAAUGAAGGCUCUCUUGGCUGAGUGUAUAAUUUCAUUUACCUACUGUCGACAAAUUCCCUUUAAUCCUAACCACCACUUACGAGAAUAUUUACUAUCAAAAGGAGACAAAUCGCUAUUUAAAUGUGGAUUUACUCAAGUCUGAAACUAUGACAGUGACAUACAGUAAAAUGAUAAUAUGUAAAUAACAGCUGGAGACAGAUUUAUCUUCUGAGAAAGCUGGGCAGAGCAGUGGAUUAAAGUCAUAUGUGAUCUACUUUGAGUGGACUCAAUUCAGACACAGCGUUCAGUUAUGACCAACAACGCCAUUCAUUCUGCUUACUUCAAUUCAUUUGGCCCUAGUUCUCAAUGACCCUCUGUUACCAUGCAUACACCUCCGAUAAGUAGGCCUUGAUGUUUACAGCACUUUGGAGAAGAAUAAAUGCAAACUGCACAUUAUUUAUGGGUGUGCACUCUUAGCUUAAGAGGGAUUUGUCAGCAGUGUGAAUACAGGUAGAAUAAGUAGAUGUGUGUUAGGGCAGAUAGCCUGGUUUCCAGAAACUAAGUAGAAAGAAAGGAGCUAAAUAAAAUAUCACCCCAAGACAACAGCUUUCAAUUAUUGCCCAUGAUCCUGAAUUCCUCCCAAUGAAUUGAAAGGAAAUCUAUACCAGAUGGCAUUUUCCUGAAUCAGCCAAGUUCACCAGUCAUUCCCGCCUCUUAGUGAUGGGCAGCAGUGCCAAGGAAGAGCCGGCCUUUCAUUUUCUGCCUCUGCUCACCAGUCACAGAAAGCAACUUUGCUUUCUAGGGAUGAGUUUCCUAAUUGCACUGAAAUGUAAUUAGAACAGUUAGAAAUGGAGGGCCUUUUUUUCUAAAAAAGCAGAAAUCAAGCAAAUUGUGCCCUGUGUUCUUUGGCAGUGGUGGUCUAAUGAGCCUAAGCCAGAACUGGGAAAAUACUGAACACACAUUAUGUCACUUAUUGACAUGGUGAUAAUCUUCUCAAUUGAGAGUAGCUCAAAACAUGUAAAGUCACUCACAACUCUUAAAUGUAUGGAAGGUGGGGCAUAAAAAUCACUGUAUUGUAAUGCAGCAUUAGAAUACAUUGUAUUGAGCCCACUCAUAUAUUACAAGGGAGAGCUGGCCUAUGUUAAUCGCAGUCUUCCUUAAAUUAUCUUGUCCCAAGACACCAAGUCUGAGAAUGAAGACAAAUAUAUUCCAUUGAAAAAGCCAGAAUAGAUCUGAUACCUCUAACUUGAACAGUACAGUAUCUGAUAUUGGAGUGUUUGUAGGUUUCUUUUAGAAAAUUGUUCCCUGUAUAAUACCCAUAGGGUUGGAUCCAGUGUAUUCUUCAUUCACAACUAAAUAUGAGGAAGCUAAAAAAAAAACAGGGGUCCUACAUAUACUUCCUUCUGCCAAGGAAAAUAUAUUCAUGACAAAGAGACAAAUAUCCAGUUAAUUUAUUCAACUAAUUACUUUUUUAAUAUAUUUUCUCACCAUAUAGUAUAAUUUUAUUAGUGGAUAAAUUAUUUUAUUGUGUUG